UGCUGGUAGUGUGGGGAUAUCUGAAUCGAGUAUGUAGCCUAUUUUCUCACAGUCCAAAACAAUUUUGAGAUUUCUAAGCCAGUCCUUAUAAUUGGUUCCGGUCAGUCGGUUGGUCUCAAGAAUACGGGUCAAAGGGUUUGAAGCCGACAUUGUAUCUGCAGAGAGUAAAGAUUCUAGUUAGACUUUUGUACUUGAUCCUAAUCUGUUCUAAGGUCUUUUAGAACAGAUGUGACUCCCACUAUUUUCUCGAAUCCUUACACUCCCCUGGUAGGAAAACGGAAAUCCCACACGACUAGGGUUUCUAACGGGUACUGCGGUCCCACCAAUUUACAUGCCACCUCACCUAACAGUUAUUGGUGACACAUAGAUGGAUGAGUGUACAACUCUUGUACAAUGCUUCUCAAGCAUGUUGCAGUGUAACUCGGUCUCUAAGCCAUGAAGACCUCACCUAACAGUUAUUGGUCCCAUUUCUUAGUUAAGUCUGACCCACCGUAUAACCGUAGGAAUAAAGUCGUCAUUGGGUCCUCACCUAACAGUUAUUGGUGCCCAACCCCACCUUUACCCUACAACAUCUCAUGUCUAUAGAGAGGUCCAGCCCCCCGAUGCAACUUGACCACUGUAUCCAGCCGAGACAAAUCAACAUCAGAAAGCCUUAGCAGCUCUACUACAGUGGAAGACCUAUU
RNAcentral lists this long non-coding RNA (683 nucleotides) under Phoenix dactylifera (date palm). RNAcentral's name for it is "long non-coding RNA (PDAC_LNC019344)". The record is from RNAcentral. Lineage: Eukaryota; Viridiplantae; Streptophyta; Magnoliopsida; Arecales; Arecaceae.